RNAcentral lists this ribosomal RNA (263 nucleotides) under uncultured archaeon. RNAcentral's name for it is "partial 16S ribosomal RNA". It matches the Rfam family "Archaeal small subunit ribosomal RNA", at positions 717 to 982 of the family's 1478-position model. The record is from RNAcentral.
AGUCACUGACAUUAGAUACCCGUGUAGUCCAGGGUGUAAACGCUGCAGACUUGGUGUUGGAAAUCCUUCGAGGGUAUUCAGUGCCGGAGAGAAGUUGUUAAGUCUGCUACUUGGGAGUACGUCCGCAAGGAUGAAACUUAAAGGAAUUGGCGGGGGAGCACCGCAACGGGAGGAGCGUGCGGUUUAAUUGGAUUCAACACCGUAAACUCACCAGGGAAGACUGUUACAUGAAAGCCGAGAUGAAGACUCUGCUAGAUUUUCAG